AUAUACAAGACUUUGCGCUCCCUUUUUAGGGUAAAAAUUUAUGGGACUUGUCAUAGUUAGAAUCUGGUCUGUCAAAAGAUGAUUAGUUAAAAAAGUGAAUGGCUGCUUAAUUGCUCAAUUAAAGAAAAGGAUACAAGAAACAGAAUCAAGAGUAAUUUUUUUUAUUUUAUUUCGAGCAGAAUUGUCUUCAACUAAUUGAAGCAGACUGGUGAACUAGUGACACAAUGAUUUGAAGAACCAGUCCUAAGAUGAGCUGUGGUGCACGGAACUUCCUCCAAAUCUCUUAAACCACUGUAAGUGCUAGCAAGUUGGAGUUCAGUUAGCAUCUGUCGAAGAUCAGAAGCUUCUUUCUUGAGCCUUGCAUUUUCUUGUACAACUCUGUCAUGAUCCCCUGAAACAUUAUUCAACUUGUCUAGGAGAUCAUGGUUCUCUGUUCUUAAACGGACAACCUGCGACCACAACUCAUCUAGGUGCUUUUGCUUUCUCAUCCUCGACCUACGCGCAGAUUCUCUGUUGGAAAUCAUUCUUCUUUUCUUUCUCUCAUUGAUGAUGCUAAGCUGAAACUCAUCU
RNAcentral lists this long non-coding RNA (570 nucleotides) under Daucus carota (carrot). Its description in RNAcentral is "long non-coding RNA (DCAR_LNC001434)". The record is from RNAcentral. Lineage: Eukaryota; Viridiplantae; Streptophyta; Magnoliopsida; Apiales; Apiaceae.